AUGGCCGCCAUGGCCAGAGCUAAGCCGAUCGGAAGCCUACUGCUCCUCUUUUCUAAACGAAGUUCUGCUUCACUGACUAAGACUUCAAAUAGACUUGGCAUCUUGCUACAAGGCAGCAUAGAAAGAUUAUCUCCAGAUGGAUUAUUCUGAUCAAGUACCUCUGCCUUUUCCCUGGGGGAUAUGUAUAUAAAAUUAGAUGCAAGCGAGGAAGAAUCGAACACUCACUGGGGCUGGCACUGCGGUGUAGUAGGUAAAGCCAUCAUCUGAAGCACCAGCAUCCCAUCUGGGCACUUGUUUGAGUCCCGGCUGUUCCGCUUCUGAUCCAGCUCCCUGCUAAUGCACCUGGGAAAGCAGUGGAGGAUGGCCCAAGUGCUUGGGAGACCCGAAUGAAGCUUCUGGCUCCUGGCUUCAGUCUGGCCCAGUCCUAACUAUUGUAGCCAUUUGGCAGCAGAUGGAGGAUCUCUCUCUCUCUCCCUCUCUCUCUCUCUCACUGCCUUGCCCUCUCUGUAACUCCGAAUUUCAAAUAAAUAAUUUUUUUUUUUAAAAGAGCA
RNAcentral lists this long non-coding RNA (551 nucleotides) under Oryctolagus cuniculus (rabbit). Its description in RNAcentral is "lncRNA (ENSOCUG00000035320.1)". Lineage: Eukaryota; Metazoa; Chordata; Mammalia; Lagomorpha; Leporidae. The record is from RNAcentral.